This 423-nucleotide ribosomal RNA is filed under the name uncultured bacterium. RNAcentral's name for it is "bacterial SSU rRNA". It matches the Rfam family "Bacterial small subunit ribosomal RNA", at positions 355 to 775 of the family's 1533-position model. The record is from RNAcentral.
UGAGGAAUAUUGGUCAAUGGGCGGAAGCCUGAACCAGCCAUGCCGCGUGCAGGAAGGAGGCCCUACGGGUUGUAAACUGCUUUUACCCGGGAAGAAACCGCCCCCUGCGGGGGGCGUUGCCGGUACCGGGGGAAAAAGGAUCGGCUAACUCCGUGCCAGCAGCCGCGGUAAUACGGAGGAUCCGGGCAUUAUCCGGAGUUACUGGGUUUAAAGGGUGCGUAGGCGGGGCUUUAAGCCGGCGGUGAAAUGCAGCGGCUCAACCGCUGGAAUGCCGUUGGGACUGGGGCUCUUGGAUACGGUCGGGGCGGGUGGAACUCGUGGUGUAGCGGUGAAAUGCAUAGAUAUCACGAGGAACGCCGGUAGCGAAGGCAGCUCGCCGGGCCGGUAUUGACGCUGAGGCACGAAAGCGUGGGGAUCGAACAG